GCUGUGGGGGUGGAGCUUAGACAGAAUACCAACAGUGAUCCCCAGGGGCCCGCCGGUCUCAACCUCCCUUGUGCUGGGAUUACAAGAGUGACCACCAUUCCUAGCUUUUUGUGGUUUUGUUAUGUUUUUAAUUUUCUCUUUCCUUCCUUCCUUCCUUCCUUCCUCCCUUCCUUUCUUCCUUCCUUCCUUCCUCUCUCCCUCACUCCUUCACUCCCUCCCUUCCUUCUUUUCCUGUUUUUGCACUGGUUACUGGAACUGGGUGCUCUGCCGAUACUUUACUCCCAGAGUGUCUCCUUAGCCCCAGAACCUCUUCCAGGUCCAACAAUCCAAGACAGGAUGAGCCUUGAGGCAGUGUCUGCACCGCUCUCCAGAGGGUUAAAGGAACAACCUGGCCUGCUGCCCAGCAGGUAGCUGGAAUCAAUCCAUCCCCAGUGAGGAAUUUUAAACACUGUCCCAGAGUCCACCCUGAAGAUACUCCCCGAAGGCUGCCACUGACCUUCUGCUGGGUUUCCACAGACGGUGACUCAAACCUACUCUGCAAUCCAGACAGCCCACAGCAGCACAGUGCCGUACCAGGGCAUCGAAGGUUCAUCAUCCUUCUAAGCACCAGAGUCAGUGAGGCACUGUGUGUGUGUUAGGCUUUGUAAGUGACUGUCACGGUCCAAGCAAGGACUUAAGAUCUGGGUACUAUCUGCAUCUGGGAGAGGCAGGGCUGCAAGUCAGACCAUCCGACUGCUGUCCCACCCCAUCCACUACCCACCGCCCAGCCCCUCUACCUGUGCCUGUGACCACCGUCCCCACAAAGUGUUUCUUCCUUCAGGAGCAUGCUCUGCUCUUGCAGGAGGCCUGGAUCUUUUUACCUCCAGCCCUGCCACCACCUUGACUCCUGCGUUGCGCGCUGAAGUCGUAAUAACAUGCUCUCUGCUGCCCGUUCUUGUCCACCGCACCCCAGCUGCCAGGUUAAUCUCCAGAGAAUGCCGUUAGGACUGGCGCCUUGAUCACCUCGCUUGUCAAAUGCGGGGUUCUAGCUCGAUAGAUCAGCAUCUUUAGAGUUCAAAUAAAUCCUUUGGAAUCCUGAAGACCA
Non-coding RNA from Rattus norvegicus (Norway rat), 1084 nucleotides. NCBI's taxonomy places the organism in Eukaryota, Metazoa, Chordata, Mammalia, Rodentia, Muridae. The record is from RefSeq and is a predicted model, not a curated record.